AGUGAACGCUGGCGGUAGGCCUAACACAUGCAAGUCGAACGGCAGCACAGUAAGAGCUUGCUCUUACGGGUGGCGAGUGGCGGACGGGUGAGGAAUACAUCGGAAUCUACUUUUUCGUGGGGGAUAACGUAGGGAAACUUACGCUAAUACCGCAUACGACCUACGGGUGAAAGCAGGGGAUCUUCGGACCUUGCGCGAUUGAAUGAGCCGAUGUCGGAUUAGCUAGUUGGCGGGGUAAAGGCCCACCAAGGCGACGAUCCGUAGCUGGUCUGAGAGGAUGGUCAGCCACACUGGAACUGAGACACGGUCAAGACUCCUACGGGAGGCAGCAGUGGGGAAUAUUGGACAAUGGGCGCAAGCCUGAUCCAGCCAUACCGCGUGGGUGAAGAAGGCCUUCGGGUUGUAAAGCCCUUUUGUUGGGAAAGAAAAGCAGCAGGUUAAUACCCCGCUGUUCUGACGGUACCCAAAGAAUAAGCACCGGCUAACUUCGUG
Molecule: ribosomal RNA, 492 nt
Filed under: uncultured bacterium
Lineage: Bacteria
Description: partial 16S ribosomal RNA
Rfam family: Bacterial small subunit ribosomal RNA
Source: RNAcentral